UCAUGAGGGCAAUUUUGUCCCUCUUCUCAUCAAAUUAAAUUAUCCAAACUAUGGUCGGAGGACAAUUUUGUCAAAAUAAAAAUAACUCUAGUUUGGUAUAAGUCUCUCUCACCAUACGAUCCCUAUCCUCUUCUUAUCAAAAUAAAUUAUCCAAACUACAGUAUCAUGAGGGUAAUUUCAUCAAAAUAACAAUAUAUGUGGUUCCGUAUUCGCAAA
Molecule: long non-coding RNA, 216 nt
Filed under: Elaeis guineensis (African oil palm)
Lineage: Eukaryota; Viridiplantae; Streptophyta; Magnoliopsida; Arecales; Arecaceae
Description: long non-coding RNA (EGUI_LNC039274)
Source: RNAcentral